RNAcentral lists this ribosomal RNA (458 nucleotides) under uncultured bacterium. Its description in RNAcentral is "bacterial SSU rRNA". It matches the Rfam family "Bacterial small subunit ribosomal RNA", at positions 338 to 788 of the family's 1533-position model. The record is from RNAcentral.
CCUACGGGUUGCAGCAGUGGGGAAUAUUGCACAAUGGGCGCAAGCCUGAUGCAGCCAUGUCGCGUGUGUGAAGAAGGCCUUCGGGUUGUAAAGCACUUUCAACGGGGAGGAAGGCGCCAAGGUUAAUAACCUUGGCGAUUGACGUUACCCGCAGAAGAAGCACCGGCUAACUCCGUGCCAGCAGCCGCGGUAAUACGGAGGGUGCAAGCGUUAAUCGGAAUUACUGGGCGUAAAGCGCACGCAGGCGGUCUGUCAAGUCGGAUGUGAAAUCCCCGGGCUCAACCUGGGAACUGCAUUCGAAACUGGCAGGCUAGAGUCUUGUAGAGAGGGGUAGAAUUCCAGGUGUAGCGGUGAAAUGCGUAGAGAUCUGAAGGAAUACCAGUGGCGAAGGCGGCCCCCUGGACAAAGACUGACGCUCAGAUGCGAAAGCGUGGGGAGCAAACAGGAUUAGAUACCCC